This is a long non-coding RNA of Phlebotomus papatasi, 2678 nucleotides long. RefSeq lists it as uncharacterized. The record is from RefSeq and is a predicted model, not a curated record. NCBI's taxonomy places the organism in Eukaryota, Metazoa, Arthropoda, Insecta, Diptera, Psychodidae. The transcript is spliced from 2 exons.
CGUAAUCACAAAAAUAAAAGAGAUGAAGUCACAUCAAAACAAACUCUAAGAUACUAAUUUUUCUUAGACUCUCGCUCAUUUAAAAGGGAUUAUACUCUUUUUCUCUCUACUCAGGUGCGUUUUGUUUUUAAUAAUCAAUCCAACACACAAAAUAUUUCAGUUUUUUUCCUCACAUAAUUUCUAAUGAUUAGUAUUUCUUGUUCUUUUUUUUUCUUUAUGAAGAUAGAAGUGGAUAGAAGUGUAAUGAGAAGAAUGUUCUUUUUGCAUGCAAUCUCUCUCUCUCUCUCUCUCUCUCUAAAGUAGUUCACACAAGAUUCCACUGGCUAUUUCUUACAUUUAAUAAAAUAUUUCAUCUUAUUUUUUUUACUCAUUAUUUGCUUUUAUACACAAUUACACUUUUUUCUUUUUUAAAUCUCUCUUUGUGUUGUUUUUUUUCUUGUAAUGAUGCAGGUCAACAGUAGUUACAGCAAAAAUCUCACAUAAAAGGAGACAUUCAGGAGACAUUUAGAUUUUUCUUGUUAUUUUUGUUUUUUUUUUCUUAAUCUUUGCCAUUGAGUUUAAACAGGUAUCGUAAGAGUUUCAUUAAUGUGUACAUUUUAGUUUUAAAAGAUGUCUUUAGAAUUUUUUGUGGGCUUUGCUCUUUUUUGUGUAAUUCCUUUUGUAAGAAAAAAAAAUCUUCUCAAAACUCGUCUUCUCAUUACACCGUGUUGUGACUUUUUUCACCCAUAUUAUUUUCUGUCCAACGAACAUCAAAAAUAAAAAAAUACACCGUUUUAGCUUAAUUUUGCUAAAUGUAUGCUAAGAUUUUAGCUGACUAUGAAGGGAGACUGCGAAGUCCAAGUAAGAAGAUAGAAGAAAUUAGCGCUCACAGCGUACGAUAGAGAAACCAAACCUUGCAAAAAAACUAAGCAAUUUUGAGUAGAAUAAUACAGGGAGUCCCGGCUUGAGUGAAAACGUAUUAAAAGAAUUUGAUAUGAAUUGGGAGCUCAUUUAUAAAAUAAUUUUUGUAUGCAAAUAUUUCUCACGAGGUAAAUUUGAAAUGCAUUUCUUAUGACCCUGUUGGCCCUGAUAAUAGGCCGAAAAAUUGUCGCCUACAAUAUUUUGCAUACAUCACGGCGUCUCCGUAACUUAUUACAAAUACAUAUCUCCUGCAGGUAUGCAAUUUUUCUGUACUACUAAAGUAAAUUCCCGGGCUUUUUUUCGGUCUCGAAGUUUCCUUUGAAAGAGACACUUUCUGGUAAUCCUGAAUAUCUUUUUAAGAAGAAAAUUCGUCUUUUACCGCAUAGAUGUAAAUCACCGUCAAUUUGUGCUGAGCCGAGAUGUACAUGUUUUUUUCCGUACCAUUCCGAGCCACCAUCUCCACGACUUACAUUUCCGUUACAUUUUGUAAAGUUUCUCCAUUGUUCGGUUGUAAUGGACGUAUACAACCGAGUUUGCUUCCUGGAAAGGGCAUAAAGCAGUUCCAAGAGUCGUUCGACAGAGGAGAGGGCAGAAAUCAGGCUAUGCAUUUAAUUAAUUUAGAAAAAAAACACUUCUUUCCGUUAUCGUUUCGACAUAUUUCUUACAUUGUAUAAUCAUAGCAAUUGAUUGAUAUCCCGUAUUUUAAGUAAACUGCAAAGUUUAUAGUUAAAAAAGGAUCGGUUAUGAACUGGUUUAUUACAGGUUCAUAACCGAUUGGAAUCAGUUCAGGCUUGUCAGGAAUUCGAAGACCUUUCAAGUGCACUUAAACAUGAUACCAUUUGGUUGACAAAUACGGUCUUUUGAGACUUUUUAACCUUUGACCUUGAAAAACCAUUAUUAGGAACGAGAUUCAACGAGAUUUUCGUAUAAGGACGAAAUGUUCGUAUGACGUCUUUUCGAGCAAUCCCAAAACAAACAUGGUUUUGAACAGGAAUAGGAGGGUUGGGGAGGGGGGAAAUGAGGGACAUGUCAACGAUCUUUGGGUUGACUUAUGGGGGGGUCCCCCGAAAUUUUACUGCACGAGUUUCGUGCAGUAAAACUUUCCUAAAAUGAUCCCCAGAGAAUGAUAAAGCAGUUAAUUAUCGAGACGAUCCUUUUGAAAACAUUCACAUUAGGUUCCCUGAAAGUAUCACGUCAGUUUCAAACUGAAUCAUAUUUUACUACCCCCUUUAGCUCUCACUUAACACUUUUCGGUGUUUUUUUUCUGGAUCAAACCGUUGUGGAAAUUUCUAAAUAGCAAGUUAAACACUUCAAAUUAUAAUUAACAAUAAAUAUGAAAAAAAAAUUCUGAAUGACCUAAAAAUUUUGCUAAAUAUUCUGCUGAAAUAUGCUUAAUAUUCAGUGAGGUUUAGUUCCCCUAUCAUCCGCUGAGAACGCUGAUAUUCCAAUUCAUAUUUCAUCGUAGUAGUUUUUCUUUUAGAGAACUGCUAAACAUUUAGCACUCAUUUAGCAAAAUUAUGCUAAAAACGUGUACUUUCCUUGUUGGGCGUUCGCUGGGAUCUUUCUUUAUGUUCAAAUUCAAUUUUCAUGCACGCAAAAAAAAGAGACACCGUUACACAAUACUCAGUGCAACAAAUAUGAUUUUCAAUCAAUUUCUAUCUCUCCCUCUCAUUAAAUACGUAAUUAUAUUAUGAGUUACUACAUACAAUAGAGAAUAUACUUUUGUUGUCUUCAUCUUUUUCUCCACAAAAUCUCCCACUUGCAGGUUUAAUUUUAAA